GCGUGGAAGGCAGCGCGGAUGCUUUGGUGGUUGUGGCGGCUGAAGAUUAGAAACCCUAAGGUUUCUAAUGUUUUUGGGCCAUUGGUUUUGGGCCUCUGUAGUUUGGUUUGGGCCACAUCGGCCCGUUUGUAUUUUGCGCCUUUUACUCGGGCCAAAAUCUGGUAUUACAAGACUAAUACAUAAGUUGUGGAAUUAUAAAUCAAUACAACAAAUACAUCAUAACACUUGAAA
RNAcentral lists this long non-coding RNA (231 nucleotides) under Gossypium barbadense (sea-island cotton). RNAcentral's name for it is "long non-coding RNA (GBAR_LNC021011)". The record is from RNAcentral. Lineage: Eukaryota; Viridiplantae; Streptophyta; Magnoliopsida; Malvales; Malvaceae.